RNAcentral lists this ribosomal RNA (301 nucleotides) under uncultured bacterium. RNAcentral's name for it is "partial 16S ribosomal RNA". It matches the Rfam family "Bacterial small subunit ribosomal RNA", at positions 509 to 809 of the family's 1533-position model. The record is from RNAcentral.
CAGCAGCCACGGUAAUACGAAGGGUGCAAGCGUUACUCGGAAUUACUGGGCGUAAAGCGUGCGUAGGCGGCUAAUUGAGUCGGAUGUGAAAUCCCCGAGCUUAACUUGGGAAUUGCAUUCGAUACUGGUUAGCUAGAGUGUGGGAGAGGAUGGUAGAAUUCCAGGUGUAGCGGUGAAAUGCGUAGAGAUCUGGAGGAAUACCGAUGGCGAAGGCAGCCAUCUGGCCUAACACUGACGCUGAGGUACGAAAGCAUGGGGAGCAAACAGGAUUAGAUACCCCUGUAGUCCCUGUCUCUUAUAA